UAAGAAACAAUACAGAUGCAUCCUGUGUCCC
Molecule: non-coding RNA, 31 nt
Filed under: Mus musculus (house mouse)
Lineage: Eukaryota; Metazoa; Chordata; Mammalia; Rodentia; Muridae
Source: RNAcentral